GAUGAACGCUGGCGGCGUGCCUAAUACAUGCAAGUCGAACGAAACUUCUUUAUCACCGAGUGCUUGCACUCACCGAUAAAGAGUUGAGUGGCGAACGGGUGAGUAACACGUGGGCAACCUGCCCAAAAGAGGGGGAUAACACUUGGAAACAGGUGCUAAUACCGCAUAACCAUAGUUACCGCAUGGUGACUAUGUAAAAGGUGGCUAUACUACCGCUUUUGGAUGGGCCCGCGGCGCAUUAGCUAGUUGGUAGGGUAAAGGCUUACCAAGGCAAUGAUGCGUAGCCGAAUUGAGAGGUUGAUCGGCCACAUUGGGACUGAGACACGGCCCAAACUCCUACGGGAGGCAGCAGUAGGGAAUCUUCCACAAUGGGCGAAAGCCUGAUGGAGCAACGCCGCGUGGGUGAAGAAGGUCUUCGGAUCGUAAAACCCUGUUGUUAGAGAAGAAAGUGCGUGAGAGUAACUGUUCACGUUUCGACGGUAUCUAACCAGAAAGCCGCGGCUAACUACGUG
This 512-nucleotide ribosomal RNA is filed under the name uncultured bacterium. Its description in RNAcentral is "partial 16S ribosomal RNA". It matches the Rfam family "Bacterial small subunit ribosomal RNA", at positions 28 to 507 of the family's 1533-position model. The record is from RNAcentral.